RNAcentral lists this ribosomal RNA (2902 nucleotides) under Klebsiella pneumoniae. RNAcentral describes it as "23S ribosomal RNA". It matches the Rfam family "Bacterial large subunit ribosomal RNA". The record is from RNAcentral. Lineage: Bacteria; Pseudomonadati; Pseudomonadota; Gammaproteobacteria; Enterobacterales; Enterobacteriaceae.
GGUUAAGCGACUAAGCGUACACGGUGGAUGCCCUGGCAGUCAGAGGCGAUGAAGGACGUGCUAAUCUGCGAAAAGCGUCGGUAAGGUGAUAUGAACCGUUAUAGCCGGCGAUGUCCGAAUGGGGAAACCCAGUGCAAUUCGUUGCACUAUCGUUAACUGAAUACAUAGGUUAACGAGGCGAACCGGGGGAACUGAAACAUCUAAGUACCCCGAGGAAAAGAAAUCAACCGAGAUUCCCCCAGUAGCGGCGAGCGAACGGGGAGCAGCCCAGAGUCUGAAUCAGCUUGUGUGUUAGUGGAACGGUCUGGAAAGUCCGACGGUACAGGGUGAUAGUCCCGUACACCAAAAUGCACAGGCUGUGAACUCGAAGAGUAGGGCGGGACACGUGGUAUCCUGUCUGAAUAUGGGGGGACCAUCCUCCAAGGCUAAAUACUCCUGACUGACCGAUAGUGAACCAGUACCGUGAGGGAAAGGCGAAAAGAACCCCGGCGAGGGGAGUGAAAAAGAACCUGAAACCGUGUACGUACAAGCAGUGGGAGCACCUUCGGGUGUGACUGCGUACCUUUUGUAUAAUGGGUCAGCGACUUAUAUUCUGUAGCAAGGUUAACCGUAUAGGGGAGCCGCAGGGAAACCGAGUCUUAACUGGGCGUUAAGUUGCAGGGUAUAGACCCGAAACCCGGUGAUCUAGCCAUGGGCAGGUUGAAGGUUGGGUAACACUAACUGGAGGACCGAACCGACUAAUGUUGAAAAAUUAGCGGAUGACUUGUGGCUGGGGGUGAAAGGCCAAUCAAACCGGGAGAUAGCUGGUUCUCCCCGAAAGCUAUUUAGGUAGCGCCUCGUGAACUCAUCUUCGGGGGUAGAGCACUGUUUCGGCUAGGGGGUCAUCCCGACUUACCAACCCGAUGCAAACUACGAAUACCGAAGAAUGUUAUCACGGGAGACACACGGCGGGUGCUAACGUCCGUCGUGAAGAGGGAAACAACCCAGACCGCCAGCUAAGGUCCCAAAGUCAUGGUUAAGUGGGAAACGAUGUGGGAAGGCACAGACAGCCAGGAUGUUGGCUUAGAAGCAGCCAUCAUUUAAAGAAAGCGUAAUAGCUCACUGGUCGAGUCGGCCUGCGCGGAAGAUGUAACGGGGCUAAACCAUGCACCGAAGCUGCGGCAGCGACACUAUGUGUUGUUGGGUAGGGGAGCGUUCUGUAAGCCUGCGAAGGUGACCUGUGAGGGUUGCUGGAGGUAUCAGAAGUGCGAAUGCUGACAUAAGUAACGAUAAAGCGGGUGAAAAGCCCGCUCGCCGGAAGACCAAGGGUUCCUGUCCAACGUUAAUCGGGGCAGGGUGAGUCGACCCCUAAGGCGAGGCCGAAAGGCGUAGUCGAUGGGAAACAGGUUAAUAUUCCUGUACUUGGUGUUACUGCGAAGGGGGGACGGAGAAGGCUAUGUUAGCCGGGCGACGGUUGUCCCGGUUUAAGCAUGUAGGCUGAUUGUCCAGGCAAAUCCGGAUAAUCAAGGCUGAGGUGUGAUGACGAGGCACUACGGUGCUGAAGUAACAAAUGCCCUGCUUCCAGGAAAAGCCUCUAAGCAUCAGGUAACAUCAAAUCGUACCCCAAACCGACACAGGUGGUCAGGUAGAGAAUACCAAGGCGCUUGAGAGAACUCGGGUGAAGGAACUAGGCAAAAUGGUGCCGUAACUUCGGGAGAAGGCACGCUGGUGUGUAGGUGAAGCCCCUGCGGGUGGAGCUGAGACCAGUCGAAGAUACCAGCUGGCUGCAACUGUUUAUUAAAAACACAGCACUGUGCAAACACGAAAGUGGACGUAUACGGUGUGACGCCUGCCCGGUGCCGGAAGGUUAAUUGAUGGGGUUAUCCGUAAGGAGAAGCUCUUGAUCGAAGCCCCGGUAAACGGCGGCCGUAACUAUAACGGUCCUAAGGUAGCGAAAUUCCUUGUCGGGUAAGUUCCGACCUGCACGAAUGGCGUAAUGAUGGCCAGGCUGUCUCCACCCGAGACUCAGUGAAAUUGAACUCGCUGUGAAGAUGCAGUGUACCCGCGGCAAGACGGAAAGACCCCGUGAACCUUUACUAUAGCUUGACACUGAACAUUGAGCCUUGAUGUGUAGGAUAGGUGGGAGGCUUUGAAGCGUGGACGCCAGUCUGCGUGGAGCCAACCUUGAAAUACCACCCUUUAAUGUUUGAUGUUCUAACGUUGGCCCCUGACCGGGGUUGCGGACAGUGUCUGGUGGGUAGUUUGACUGGGGCGGUCUCCUCCCAAAGCGUAACGGAGGAGCACGAAGGUUAGCUAAUCCUGGUCGGACAUCAGGAGGUUAGUGCAAUGGCAUAAGCUAGCUUGACUGCGAGCGUGACGGCGCGAGCAGGUGCGAAAGCAGGUCAUAGUGAUCCGGUGGUUCUGAAUGGAAGGGCCAUCGCUCAACGGAUAAAAGGUACUCCGGGGAUAACAGGCUGAUACCGCCCAAGAGUUCAUAUCGACGGCGGUGUUUGGCACCUCGAUGUCGGCUCAUCACAUCCUGGGGCUGAAGUAGGUCCCAAGGGUAUGGCUGUUCGCCAUUUAAAGUGGUACGCGAGCUGGGUUUAGAACGUCGUGAGACAGUUCGGUCCCUAUCUGCCGUGGGCGCUGGAGAAUUGAGGGGGGCUGCUCCUAGUACGAGAGGACCGGAGUGGACGCAUCACUGGUGUUCGGGUUGUCAUGCCAAUGGCACUGCCCGGUAGCUAAAUGCGGAAGAGAUAAGUGCUGAAAGCAUCUAAGCACGAAACUUGCCCCGAGAUGAGUUCUCCCUGAGACUUUAAGUCUCCUGAAGGAACGUUAAAGACGAUGACGUUGAUAGGCCGGGUGUGUAAGCGCAGCGAUGCGUUGAGCUAACCGGUACUAAUGAACCGUGAGGCUUAACCUU